Molecule: ribosomal RNA, 505 nt
Filed under: uncultured bacterium
Lineage: Bacteria
Description: bacterial SSU rRNA
Rfam family: Bacterial small subunit ribosomal RNA
Source: RNAcentral
GAUUCUGGCUCAGGAUGAACGCUGGCGGCGUGCCUAAUACAUGCAAGUCGAGCGAGAACUUGAUGAUGGAAGAUUCGUCUGAAAGAUCAAGGGAAAGCGGCGGACGGGUGAGUAACGCGUAGGCAACCUGCCCUUAGCAGAGGGAUAGCCAUUGGAAACGAUGAUUAAAACCUCAUAACGCUUGAGAGACACAUGUCUUUCGAGCCAAAGAUUUAUCGGCUAAGGAUGGGCCUGCGUCUGAUUAACUGGUUGGUGAGGUAACGGCUCACCAAGGUGACGAUCAGUAGCCGACCUGAGAGGGUGAUCGGCCACAUUGGAACUGAGACACGGUCCAAACUUCUACGGAAGGCAGCAGUAAGGAAUCUUGCACAAUGGGGGGAAACCCUGAUGCAGCAACGCCGCGUGAACGAAGAAGGCCUUCGGGUUGUAAAGUUCUGAUCUUGGGGAAGAAGGAAGUGACGGUACCCAAGGAGAAAGCCCCGGCUAACUACGUGCCAGCCGCCGC